This is a long non-coding RNA of Theobroma umbraticum, 853 nucleotides long. RefSeq lists it as uncharacterized. Lineage: Eukaryota; Viridiplantae; Streptophyta; Magnoliopsida; Malvales; Malvaceae. The record is from RefSeq and is a predicted model, not a curated record.
GAUAAAAGAGAAGAAAAGCAACAUGCAAGGAAAUGCUUAGUUUUUAGAAGAAAAGUGUGAAGAUAACAAGUGAGUUUCAUGAGAGAUUUGCCCAUUUGGAAGAGAGAUAGAAGGAAAAUAGCCUUGUGAGACUUCCACCUGAGAUGAGAGAAAGAGUUGAGUGAAAAAGGCUUGGAGGAGGCUUGGUUUUGUGGAGGUUGGGAGAAAAACCGCAAAGUUUUCUCUUGCAUGCCAUGGUUGGAGCUUUAGGAAGGCAUGAGAGGUUCGGCCUAGUGAUUCCAAGCUAAGGAAGAUAAGUAGAACCUUGAUUUUGGUUAUGAUUUCUUAAGGAAAUGAGUUGGUAAUUGUGUGAGAAUGUUUAUGGUAGCAAAGAUCCUCCAAGAUUUGAAAGAAAUAGGUGCAUGCAUGUGGGUUAAAUUGGAAUGCAUGUUGAUUUUGGAGUUAGAUAAGCGAUGGCAAUGGUGACUGAGAAUGUAAGGAAUGGUGGAUUAUACGUGGAGCUCAAGCUAAAACCAAAAGCCAACAUCAUUGAGACUACCAUAGCUGUGGGAUCCGGUGGAGCAGAGGUUCUGGAUGUUAUUACGUGGAAGUAGAUCCAUGGGUGAUUAUGAUAUUUACCUUCUUGAGAGCCUUAUAGUGAUCAACCUAGCGUGCAUUCAUCGACAUUUGCAGUCCACCACGGAUAGGUAAAGGCAUCUAAUAGCACUUUAUUCAGAGUCACUCUGCUGCUAGAGGUCGAGUUGUCAUAGUAUAACUUGUUAUGAAAUCAGACAUUAGUUUCAAUAUAAAUGUACAUUUGGAGAUUAUAAGUCUUGAUGUAUUAUUUUUACAAUUAUGUGGAAUAAAAGUUUAG